Molecule: transfer-messenger RNA, 90 nt
Filed under: Verrucomicrobiota bacterium
Lineage: Bacteria; Pseudomonadati; Verrucomicrobiota
Description: Verrucomicrobia bacterium (rhizosphere metagenome) partial transfer-messenger RNA
Rfam family: transfer-messenger RNA
About the family: Bacterial tmRNA, also known as 10Sa RNA or SsrA, is named for its dual tRNA and mRNA-like properties.
Source: RNAcentral
GGGGGCGUACUGGUUUCGACUCUGGGUUCGAAGACCAGGCGGCAUGCCGAGGAUGACUCGUUGGCCUCGUUAAAAAUCGGGUCAAAAAAA